CCUCUUCCUUCCCAGUCAUAAAUAAACAAAAAAAUAAAUUCCAGGUUCUACUGGGUAAACCAUUUUUCAAACAUCUUCCACCCUACCUACCCAGCGGAAAACAUCCUUAACGAUUGCCAGAGAGUUUUGAAAAAUAAAAAGAAAAAAGAAAAGCUUGUUAAUAAAAGGCGGAGAGCUUGUCGAAAAAAGAGUCAAUCAUAUCGCAUCAGCAUCAUGCAUAUGUCAUGCAUCUCUAAACUUUCAUAAAU
Molecule: long non-coding RNA, 248 nt
Filed under: Lathyrus oleraceus (garden pea)
Lineage: Eukaryota; Viridiplantae; Streptophyta; Magnoliopsida; Fabales; Fabaceae
Description: Pisum sativum (pea) long non-coding RNA (PSAT_LNC021310)
Source: RNAcentral